GACGGGGGAUGCAAGCGUUAUCCGGAAUGAUUGGGCGUAAAGGGUCCGCAGGUGGCCCGGUCAGUCCGCUCUGAAAGCCCGGGGCUCAACCCCGGGAGGCGGGCGGAUACUGUCGGGCUAGAGUCCGGAAGAGGCGAGUGGAAUUCCUGGUGUAGCGGUGAAAUGCGCAGAUAUCAGGAGGAACACCGGUGGCGAAGGCGGGUCUCUGGGCAGUAACUGACGCUGAGGAGCGAAAGCGUGGGGAGCAAACAGG
RNAcentral lists this ribosomal RNA (253 nucleotides) under uncultured bacterium. RNAcentral describes it as "partial 16S ribosomal RNA". It matches the Rfam family "Bacterial small subunit ribosomal RNA", at positions 524 to 776 of the family's 1533-position model. The record is from RNAcentral.